RNAcentral lists this ribosomal RNA (484 nucleotides) under uncultured bacterium. RNAcentral describes it as "partial 16S ribosomal RNA". It matches the Rfam family "Bacterial small subunit ribosomal RNA", at positions 30 to 507 of the family's 1533-position model. The record is from RNAcentral.
AUUGAACGCUGGCGGCAGGCCUAACACAUGCAAGUCGAGCGGAUGAAGGGAGCUUGCUCCUGGAUUCAGCGGCGGACGGGUGAGUAAUGCCUAGGAAUCUGCCUGGUAGUGGGGGAUAACGUCCGGAAACGGGCGCUAAUACCGCAUACGUCCUGAGGGAGAAAGUGGGGGAUCUUCGGACCUCACGCUAUCAGAUGAGCCUAGGUCGGAUUAGCUAGUUGGUGGGGUAAAGGCCUACCAAGGCGACGAUCCGUAACUGGUCUGAGAGGAUGAUCAGUCGCACUGGAACUGAGACACGGUCCAGACUCCUACGGGAGGCAGCAGUGGGGAAUAUUGGACAAUGGGCGAAAGCCUGAUCCAGCCAUGCCGCGUGUGUGAAGAAGGUCUUCGGAUUGUAAAGCACUUUAAGUUGGGAGGAAGGGCAGUAGGUUAAUACCUUGCUGUUUUGACGUUACCAACAGAAUAAGCACCGGCUAACUUCGUG